This 463-nucleotide ribosomal RNA is filed under the name uncultured bacterium. RNAcentral describes it as "partial 16S ribosomal RNA". It matches the Rfam family "Bacterial small subunit ribosomal RNA", at positions 28 to 507 of the family's 1533-position model. The record is from RNAcentral.
GACGAACGCUGGCGGCGUGCUUAACACAUGCAAGUCGAACGGUGAAACUCUUCGGAGGGGAUCAUUGGCGAACGGGUGAGUAACACGUGGGCAACCUGCCCCCGGCUCUGGGAUAACUCCAAGAAUUUGGGGCUAAUACCGGAAGUUCACCUCUUCCCGCAUGGGUGGUGGUUAAAAGGGUUUACGGAUGCGGAUGGUCCCUCGGCCUAUCAGCCUGUUGGUAGGGGAGUGUCCGCCCAAGGCCACGAGGGGUAGCCGGCCGUAGAGGGGGACCGGGCUCACGGGGCCUGCGGCAGGCACCAGACUGCAACGGGAGGCAGCAGUGGGGAAUCUUGCGCAAUGGGGGGAAGCCAGACGCAGCGACGCCGGGUGGGGGAUGACGGGCUUCGGGUUGUAAACAUAUUUCAGCAGGGACGAGGAGAAAGUGACGGUACCUGCAGAAGAAGCACCGGCCAACUACGUG